This is a long non-coding RNA of Acanthopagrus latus (yellowfin seabream), 1473 nucleotides long. RefSeq lists it as uncharacterized. Lineage: Eukaryota; Metazoa; Chordata; Actinopteri; Spariformes; Sparidae. The transcript has 3 exons. The record is from RefSeq and is a predicted model, not a curated record.
UAUGAUAGCCUCUUGGAGCAUGUCUGGAGUUUGAGGUGUUCAUAAAUUAGUGUAUGAACUGUGACAUAAUGUUUGUGGAUGCUUAUUUUCAUUUUUGUUAUAUAAUAUGAAAUACAUCUUCCAUCAAAAUCAGUUGACAAGGCUGUCUGUAUGUUUGUCUAUUAUAAACCAUGUCGUGACCAUGAUUUUGUGAUGAGCUGAAGUUUAAAAAUGUCCACCACAGUGCUGUGCAUGAACAUCUGGAAACGUCUCUCCAGAUGUGUGUAUGUGUCGGUAUCAUAAUCUAAUUGUAUUUAUGAGGUCAGUGGUGCCUGAAAGAGCUCACACACACACACACACACACACACACACACACACACACACACACACACACACACACACAAACACAAACACAAGCAGACACAGUUCGAUCCAGAACUAGGCCAACCCCCCACCUCCAAUCCUCCGGGCUAGCGACCGACAUGUUCUGGUUACUAUGGCAACCCCAGGCUCUUCUCCAAGACAGUGUAUUACCCAUCAACCCCUGCGGCUACAGGAACCCCACUAAUCAAAGUAGACUCUACUUUCUACUGAAGGGCUCUACUAACACCGUUUCUGAUGGUCAAAGCCUUGACGAGAAAAGAAUCAUGGCAGGAGACUCCGAAAGACUGAGGAGGCCGACAAUGUAGCAGGACACUGAGUACAGAGAGCUAGCUCCUGGUAUCUGGUGUACUGCUCCCGGAGCGAGUCCAGCAGCUUCAUCACCUGAGGCUGAGCCAGCAGCUCCUCCUCCAUGGGACACCAGGCUGGACCUGGAGGUCAGGCAGAAGACAGCCGGGGUAACAUUCCAGGACAUCUCUUUAUUUCUGAUUUAACUGUACAAAAAGUAACUGCAACGGUUUAAUUCAGGACAUCAGCUCUGUCUAGUUCAUGGCUUUGUCUCUUCUUGGUGUAACAGGUGUAAUAGCUUUUCUCUGGUUUAGUUCAAAUUGACUUUUAGCUACAUUUUGUACGAAAACACUGCUGCUACUACAUACUAACCAACACUAGAAAAUGUGAUGUGAUAAGGACAGAGGUAAUAGUCUCUGUCCUUAUUUAAAUUACAUUAGUCCCUUGAAGAUGCUAGACCAAACUUCAAGAUUUUGCUUUUAACACUUAAAACAUUGCACAGGCUACGCACAUAGGUCAGGGUUUCAUUGUACAUGUGGCAGGUAAUAAAUAUUCUGUUUGUUAUGUGUGUUUUGCUGAUGUUUCUUUUCAUCUGUUUUUAUCACACGUACACCCUGAGUCGUGCUCUGUGACACUGGACUGCAGCAAACUUUGACUCGGCCUUGCUUGGCCAUUAGCGCAGCUGUGACCGCUGUCAGUCUCGAACAACAACGGUCCAGGAAUAAAUUUGCACAUGACAGCACAGAUGACACCCCUCCACUCAUCCGUCCGUCCACCCGUGCACCCCGGAUGAAUGACAGCUGCCUCCUCACCUCCCUGUCCUCC